RNAcentral lists this non-coding RNA (223 nucleotides) under Salimicrobium jeotgali. Its description in RNAcentral is "T-box sequence". It matches the Rfam family "T-box leader". From Rfam's summary of the family: Uncharged tRNA acts as the effector for transcription antitermination of genes in the T-box leader family. T-boxes are found upstream of many aminoacyl-tRNA synthetase genes and some amino acid biosynthetic genes usually in Gram-positive bacteria. Lineage: Bacteria; Bacillati; Bacillota; Bacilli; Caryophanales; Bacillaceae. The record is from RNAcentral.
UAAUUUGUGAUGAAGAGGACAAGAGAUAUUAUGAACGGUUAUCAGAGAGGGAAGAAAAGGUGUGAUCUUCCUAACGCAGCGUAAUAGCUUACCACCUUGGAGCUGCAUGGGCGAAAUAUAAGUAGUUCAUGCCGUAGUGCUACGAUACAGCAAACCAAAGCCGUUACUUUAUCAAUGUAACGGGAAGUUGGGUGGAACCACGAGUACAGCACUCGUCCCUUUU